UCCUCUUCAAGCCAUUUUACUUUUUUCUUCUGUGUGCCACACCAAUCCAGACCAGAAAGUUGCUAUAGCAGAUGAAGUGACUAUUUUUCUGAUUAUUAUUUUAGAUCCUCCAACUUGGCCUGGUGCAACCACAAAACAAAGGUUGCACUGGAAAGACUUUUGCAAGUGGAACUGUUUGUGGAUAACAACACUAAAGACAUAUGCUCAGCACUGGCACUGAAGAGGCUGUCAUCAAGGUGAGAAGGCCAAAAAAAGAGCUGUGGAAGCACAUCCCUACUUGGACGUCUAUUUAUUUGCAUGCCUAUGGACUAAACACAGGUGUGAAGAGGGAGCUGGAAAUGACAUAAAGGGAAACAAAAAGGGACAGCAACAUGAACAAGUACCUGGAGAAUCCACCCAGAACUCAUCACUAUAAAGGCAGAAGAAUAUUGUGAGCCAAAGAAAGACGGUGCUGAAACCAAAUGUCAUGGGAGUGAUGUCUGCGUAAAGAUGCAAAUGGGAAGCGGAAUAGUAGCACUCAGGAACAUCGUUGUUGCUACAGCAGUUCAGAACCGUGGUCUUCAUACGUCUUGCAGGUGGUCAGAGCUGCCAGAUCUCCAGGUUUUACCACCUUUUGCAAGCUGACAGAUUUGCUCAAUCUCCCUCACUUGGCUCCAUGCUGCUCUAACUGAGGGUCAGCAGCUGAAGAUGUUUCAUCUCCAGUGGCAGGAGAAUACCAGCAGAGUCAGCCCAUGUCUGCCUGCAAACAUCCAUGUAGAAAUACCUUCAUUAAUAGCAUCCAGUGUAAGGCUUGAAUGCAAGGCUUAAUAGCCCUUCUGAAAUGUUUGGUAUCUUUAAUUAUACCCAUGACUCUUCCAGAUAUUCAUAUAAAUGUCUAAUCCUUUUUAAAUCCUAUUACUUUCUUGUCCUCCAAGAGCCUCUAUGAUAAGGAGUUUCACAGUUUUUAUACAUCUUGUGUGAAAGAUUUUUUUUCUAAUUUAUCAUUAGUUAAUUUUCCACCUUUUGGUUUUAUUAAAUGCCCUUCACACUCUCCCGGUGAGCUAGGAAACUUAUGGAUCUACAUUUAUUGCAUUGUUUUUUUGUACAGUGUCUCUUCUCGCGUCUCUCAUUUCUAAGGUAAACAGCCUGAAAUAUUUUCAUACUCCAAAGCAAGAUUUUUUUCCAAGUUGCCUUGUAAUCCUGAGUAUCGUUUUUAUGAUCAACUGAACAUGACCAUGCCUACUUCCCAUAUCAGAAAGGUGGAGGAAUUUAAUAACAAAUAAACUCCCACAGAGCAGCUGACACAGAGUAGGUGUACCCAGUGGAUAUAACCAAUUCACCUCUGGCAAAAGCAUUUAUUUUCCACAGCUCAGGCACUUGCAAUGCUUAGAUAGUCUGUUGCUUGGGGAAUACAGAAUUGGACAGCCAGGACAUCCCAACAAAGAGUGAAACUGAUACUCCCUGUAUGUCCACUGUAUCUUCCCCAAAUAGCACCUAUGCAACCCGGAUUUUACUUUUAUCCUGUACCAGCUUCAGCUAUGACCAAAUCCAAUUAUUCUGAUUUUUAAAACUAUGUUACAAUAGACCUAGCAAAACAGGGCAAUUAGAUGUCACUGCAGACACCACAGGGCGCAACAGGCUAGAAAUAUUGCCCCAUUCUCUUCCUUCAUGACUGCCAUUCCUAUUACUGCGGAGUCAAGUUGUUGAGUUGUUAUUUCCAGUCAAUCAUCUCUGUCUCUUUAUUCAUAAUAUGCUGCAGGCAAACCUUUUAAAACUGUCCAGGCAUUUUGGUUUUAUAGCAUCAGGUUGUAUGUUAUCAGAGUUGGUAAGUGAAACCACAUGUAAUAAUGAUAAUAAUAAUAAUGUCUUCUGCAAGGGGGUGGGGACUGUAAUGUUGGUUGAGGGUAAUAAUUUUUCACCAUAUGUGUAACUAAUCAGAAGCUAAUGUGACAAAAUGUUGUAUCCCUGAAGAGAAACAUAGAUAACAACAAGAAGGUCAUAGUUCUCUCUUUAUUCAAAAAGUCAUUCAGAAAUUUUGACCUCUUACAUUCAAACUAGUUUGGUUUAUCUAAUUUGAUAUUUCCCUCUAUAAGGUUACAAUGUAAUUUAUGAAACCAAAUAUUGUGAUACACCGGACAAAGAUUCUUUGACCAAACAGAUAUUUCUAUUUGUGAAUGACUUUUGAAUUUCACUUUUAUGCUUUUAUCUGUUUCUUAAAUUCAAUAUAAUUGAUGAAGUUUUCAUUCAUUUAAAAUUGCAGUUACCCUAUUCUGUGAACAAACAAUUGUUCUAUGAAGUACUAGUUAAGUUUCAGGCAUCUGCAGAGUAUAUUAGUGUCUGAUUACUACUAUUUUUUACCCAAAGUUAGCAGGUUUGUGUAUAAAAUAAUCAAAUGAAAAAUAUGAUCGUGUACACUAGUGUUUAUAUCACUUUAAACUUUUGGAUUCUUGUAUGCAGCUGAAUUGGACGUUCCUCCUUUUUAUGUUGUAUUGAAGUGUACUUUAAAUUACAGAAUUAAAUGCUCAAAGCAGAAACCUUGUCAGUUGCAAUGUCACUGAAUCAAAUGCUGUAAAGAUGAAGUAGCCCUGCUGUUAUUUCUGUCAAAGCCUUCUGGCUAUACUUCACAUUUGGUGCCUUUAUUUGUUCCUCUAUUUCUAUUUUGCUAAGUAAAAUGUUGAAGCAACAGCACACACUGUGAAACACAGACUGUAAAUAUAAGUACUCAACUCAGGCAGAGGUUGAACAUAUGAAACAAAUGUCACAUGAUUUGGAAUUCUCCCCAAUUUAGCAAAUAAA
Molecule: long non-coding RNA, 2775 nt
Organism: Cuculus canorus (common cuckoo)
Lineage: Eukaryota; Metazoa; Chordata; Aves; Cuculiformes; Cuculidae
Exons: 3
Source: RefSeq, a predicted model, not a curated record